UCAAAUAGUAGUAAUAAAAGAAAAUUGAACAUGGUAGAUUCGGCAGGGAAUUGAGCUGGUCUUGGGAAGCACUUCUGCAACCCAUGUAUGCGAAUGGAACAUGAGAAUUGGUAUGCCCUACUCAAGGAUUUAUUAAAUGUGAUAUGGAUGGUAGUGUUCUAAGCUCUCCAAGAUAUACUGCAUGUGAUGUUGCAGUGAAACAUGCACGUGAAGUAGGUUGGAAUAGUCUUUGGCUGGAAUGUGACUCUAUGUUGAUUUUGGUUGCUUAAGAGAAUCCAUCCUUGGUGUCUUGGAUCAUUAAAGUGUUUGUCUCGUGGGAUACUUCACCAGCUUUUGGAGGCAUCAGGAUUCUCAGCAGACCAAGAAUUCCAGUACCCUUCCCUGAUCCCUCUGGAGAUUACAUUGUUCUCAUUGGAGAUUGGUACAAAUCCAACCAC
Cajanus cajan (pigeon pea) is the source of this 437-nucleotide non-coding RNA. The record is from RefSeq and is a predicted model, not a curated record. NCBI's taxonomy places the organism in Eukaryota, Viridiplantae, Streptophyta, Magnoliopsida, Fabales, Fabaceae.